Molecule: long non-coding RNA, 470 nt
Filed under: Physcomitrium patens
Lineage: Eukaryota; Viridiplantae; Streptophyta; Bryopsida; Funariales; Funariaceae
Description: long non-coding RNA (PPAT_LNC009125)
Source: RNAcentral
AACAUAUUUUUCCUACAAAGUUUUUCUUCUUCUCAAACUUUAGAAAUUCAUAUCUCUUGCUCCAAUUGUUUGGUUUUUGUCAAUUUUAUAGAUAAUAUAGAAUUUAUCCUUAAGCAUUACUACAAAAAAAUUCAAUAGUAAAUUUGCGACCAAUCGUCUGACAUCUUAAAAACCCUAGCAAGUACUUCAAACCCUAAUUUGCAAGCACCUAAGUACUAUUUUCUUCAUAUUUCACAAAUCUGAAAUUCAAAUACAACAAAGUUUGUAUAUUGAGUUCAUUAACAUGAUUAUACACAUUCUUAGAAAUUAUAAGCCAAAAUCUUAUCAAAUUGCUCAAGAUUUAGCUCAAAAUACAACUACUAUUGAAUCAGGUCACUUACUACCCUUAGAUUUAUAAGUGCUGAUUUCAAUCUCUAAUAUCUCUUUUAUUUUGAUUUAGAAUCCAUCAAAAAAUAUACCAAAAUUAUAGC